This is a non-coding RNA of Pantherophis guttatus, 420 nucleotides long. NCBI's taxonomy places the organism in Eukaryota, Metazoa, Chordata, Lepidosauria, Squamata, Colubridae. The record is from RefSeq and is a predicted model, not a curated record.
AGUCUGAAUUUCAAGAAGCAAUCAUGAUUUUUUUCAGUAUCACCAUGACUUUGCAUAGUCGCUGAAUGAAUGGAUGUAAGCCAAAACGUGGAAAGAAGCUGAGGCCAGUGACAGGAACUCAUCCCAUCACAUAAUCUGAGGACUCAAACUGCAGGAGCACAGACCUUUUUCAGCAUCUUUUAAGCCACUGAGCCACUGCAUCUCACAAUGCACAGGUCCUUGGAUUGGGAGGAGAUGUGGACUCCUCAUCUUUGCUAACUGUCAGAAGCUGCUCACGCUUCUAGCCCGGAGCCUCCACUCUAACCUGCUGCAGCUGCGGCUUCCUCAGUUCAGGCUCAACCUGCCGGCCAUCCAAUCAACCCAGCUGUGUCUACUCUGUUGGGCUGGAGCCCUCCACUCCCUGAUCCAAGUCUCAAUGCA